RNAcentral lists this ribosomal RNA (509 nucleotides) under Staphylococcus aureus. RNAcentral's name for it is "partial 23S ribosomal RNA". It matches the Rfam family "Bacterial large subunit ribosomal RNA", at positions 357 to 869 of the family's 2925-position model. The record is from RNAcentral. Lineage: Bacteria; Bacillati; Bacillota; Bacilli; Caryophanales; Staphylococcaceae.
AAAGAAGGUAAUAAUCCUGUAGUCGAAAAUGUUGUCUCUCUUGAGUGGAUCCUGAGUACGACGGAGCACGUGAAAUUCCGUCGGAAUCUGGGAGGACCAUCUCCUAAGGCUAAAUACUCUCUAGUGACCGAUAGUGAACCAGUACCGUGAGGGAAAGGUGAAAAGCACCCCGGAAGGGGAGUGAAAUAGAACCUGAAACCGUGUGCUUACAAGUAGUCAGAGCCCGUUAAUGGGUGAUGGCGUGCCUUUUGUAGAAUGAACCGGCGAGUUACGAUUUGAUGCAAGGUUAAGCAGUAAAUGUGGAGCCGUAGCGAAAGCGAGUCUGAAUAGGGCGUUUAGUAUUUGGUCGUAGACCCGAAACCAGGUGAUCUACCCUUGGUCAGGUUGAAGUUCAGGUAACACUGAAUGGAGGACCGAACCGACUUACGUUGAAAAGUGAGCGGAUGAACUGAGGGUAGCGGAGAAAUUCCAAUCGAACCUGGAGAUAGCUGGUUCUCUCCGAAAUAGCU